RNAcentral lists this transfer RNA (73 nucleotides) under Felis catus (domestic cat). It matches the Rfam family "tRNA". From Rfam's summary of the family: Transfer RNA (tRNA) molecules are approximately 80 nucleotides in length. Their secondary structure includes four short double-helical elements and three loops (D, anti-codon, and T loops). The record is from Rfam by way of RNAcentral. Lineage: Eukaryota; Metazoa; Chordata; Mammalia; Carnivora; Felidae.
GCCUGGCUGACUCAGUUGGAAGAGCAUGAGACUCUUGAUCUCAGAGUCGUGAGUUUGAGCCCCAUGUUGAGUA